This 24-nucleotide non-coding RNA is filed under the name Gallus gallus (chicken). The record is from RNAcentral. Lineage: Eukaryota; Metazoa; Chordata; Aves; Galliformes; Phasianidae. RNAcentral also lists the same sequence under 7 other names.
GGUUUCGUACGUAGCAGAGCAGCU